This 435-nucleotide ribosomal RNA is filed under the name Streptococcus mitis. RNAcentral's name for it is "bacterial SSU rRNA". It matches the Rfam family "Bacterial small subunit ribosomal RNA", at positions 28 to 455 of the family's 1533-position model. Lineage: Bacteria; Bacillati; Bacillota; Bacilli; Lactobacillales; Streptococcaceae. The record is from RNAcentral.
GACGAACGCUGGCGGCGUGCCUAAUACAUGCAAGUAGAACGCUGAAGGAGGAGCUUGCUUCUCUGGAUGAGUUGCGAACGGGUGAGUAACGCGUAGGUAACCUGCCUGGUAGCGGGGGAUAACUAUUGGAAACGAUAGCUAAUACCGCAUAAUAGUAGAUGUUGCAUGACAUUUGCUUAAAAGGUGCAAUUGCAUCACUACCAGAUGGACCUGCGUUGUAUUAGCUAGUUGGUGAGGUAACGGCUCACCAAGGCGACGAUACAUAGCCGACCUGAGAGGGUGAUCGGCCACACUGGGACUGAGACACGGCCCAGACUCCUACGGGAGGCAGCAGUGGGGAAUCUUCGGCAAUGGACGGAAGUCUGACCGAGCAACGCCGCGUGAGUGAAGAAGGUUUUCGGAUCGUAAAGCUCUGUUGUAAGAGAAGAACGAGUG